Molecule: non-coding RNA, 28 nt
Filed under: Mus musculus (house mouse)
Lineage: Eukaryota; Metazoa; Chordata; Mammalia; Rodentia; Muridae
Source: RNAcentral
UCACUUUCUGCCUCCUGUAGUUAGCUUC